RNAcentral lists this ribosomal RNA (754 nucleotides) under uncultured fungus. RNAcentral's name for it is "eukaryotic LSU rRNA". The stretch from base 183 to 337 matches the Rfam family "5.8S ribosomal RNA". Lineage: Eukaryota; Fungi. The record is from RNAcentral.
GGGUUGUUGCUGGCCCCAACCGGGCACGUGCACGCCCUGUUUACGCAUCCACUCACACCUGUGCACCCUCUGUAGUUCUGUGGACCGGGAGACGUCGUCUUCCUUCCGUGGCUCUACGUCUUUACACACACGCCGUAGCGAAGUCUCAUGGAAUGUUUUUCGCGUUUAACGCAAUACAAUACAACUUUCAGCAACGGAUCUCUUGGCUCUCGCAUCGAUGAAGAACGCAGCGAAAUGCGAUAAGUAAUGUGAAUUGCAGAAUUCAGUGAAUCAUCGAAUCUUUGAACGCACCUUGCGCCCCUUGGUUAUUCCUCGGGGCAUGCCUGUUUGAGUAUCAUGAACACCUCAACUCUCGUGGUCUUCCAUGAUGAGCUUGGACUUUGGGGGUUUGCUGGCCCUGUGGCCGGCUCCUCUCAAACGAAUCAGCUUGCCAGUGUUUGGCGGCGUCACGGGUGUGAUAACCAUCUACGCUUGCGAUCGCCUGCCAGAUAACCCUCAGCGAUGAAGGUUCAUUGGGGCUCACAAAAGUCUCUCCACGGCGAGGACGAAUUUUGAAUGUUCGAUCUCAAAUCAGGUAGGACUACCCGCUGAACUUAAGCAUAUCAAUAAGCGGAGGAAAAGAAACUAACAAGGAUUCCCCUAGUAACUGCGAGUGAAGCGGGAAGAGCUCAAAUUUAAAAUCUGGCGUGCCUCCGGUCGUCCGAAUUGUAGUCUGGAGAAGCGUUUUCCGUGCUGGGACCGUGUACAAGUCUCC